This is a long non-coding RNA of Erinaceus europaeus (western European hedgehog), 339 nucleotides long. RefSeq lists it as uncharacterized. The transcript has 2 exons. The record is from RefSeq and is a predicted model, not a curated record. Lineage: Eukaryota; Metazoa; Chordata; Mammalia; Eulipotyphla; Erinaceidae.
CUACCCACCAUCAUGGCCUCAAUUUUGGCAAAUAUCACUGCUUUAUUGGAAGAAAUAUUUCUUGAAGGAAGAAACAGUGACAGGUCUCCCUGCUGCUGCGAGCACCUUGGGGAAAGAUGGUAAAAGAAGAAGAAGGAUGAGGAGGAGGAGGAAAAAAUGGCUGCCAGGAGCAGGAGAUUCACACUGCCAGCAUUGAAACCCAGCAAUAACUCUGGAGGCAAAAACAAACAACAACAACAAAAAAGAAAACACAAAAAAUUACUCUCAAUCUCUUUUAUCUAAUUUCAGCACUUAUACUGUGGGGUAGCUCAUCUGGCAAAUACAAUGGGAUCAGCAAUA